CCCUGGUUAGCUCAGUUGGUAGAGCGCGCCUCUGGAAAUGGAUAGGUCUCGAGUUCGAUACCCGGACCAGAUG
Non-coding RNA from Ixodes scapularis (black-legged tick), 73 nucleotides. The record is from Rfam. Lineage: Eukaryota; Metazoa; Arthropoda; Arachnida; Ixodida; Ixodidae.